ACGAAGACUCAGUGUCGGUUCGCCGCGGCAAAUGAUCAAAACCACCACGCUGUUUCUUUGGUUGGGUCAUUCGUCUUCUAGAUUCUUAAUCCUGUUUUGUUUACAGAAAACUGCCUCAUUGUAAAACUGCCUCAUUGUCCUUUAUGUUGACUGUCUGAAUAACUGUGAUGACUAGUAAAACCCUUGUGCCGAGGAACACUCUUCUACCCACUGGAAAACCCUUUUCAAAACCACGAGCCAAGUAUGCAAGAAGAUGACACCUUUAUCAAUAACCUCUUUUCCAAUUUUCCAUGGUGAAUAUAAGGAAAUUUUUGGGCUACCUGCUCAGACCCAUCCUGAAUCCACUGCAACUUCAUCAUGUGGAGACACCAGUUGAUGACAACAUCCAGAUGCUUCUCAACCUCGAUCAGAGCCCUUCAUUGGUGGGAUCACGUCUGCCCUGCUCCUAAGGACCCCAUCACUAGUGUCACGGAGGCUUUUCUUGCUGACACUAGCCCCGUCAAGAUCAAUCUUGGAGUGGGAGCUUAUAGGGACGAUGAGGGUAAACCUAUUAUCCUUCAGUGCCUUCGAGAUGCUGAAGCAAAGAUUGCGGGUUGUGACUUCUUGGAGUCUAUUUCAUCAGCUGUGAGUUCAAAAUUGGUCGAGGAGAGUGUCAAAUUGGUUUACGGUAAGGAUUCAGAUGUUAUAAAAGAAGGAAGGUAUGCUGGUGUUCAAGCACUCUCAGGAACUGGUGCAUGCCGCCUCUUUGCUGAGUUCCAGAAGCGUUUCCAUCCUGAAUCUCAAAUAUAUUUGCCCAAUCCUACUUGGUCCAACCACCAUAACAUAUGGAGAGAUGCUCAAGUUCAACAGAAUACCUUUAGCUACUACCAUCCUGAUUUGAAGGGUUUAAAUUUUACCGCUCUCAUGGAUGACGUAAAGAAUGCCCCAGAUGGUUCCUUUUUCCUGCUCCACCCUUGUGCUCACAAUCCCACUGGUGUUGAUCCUACUGAGGAACAGUGGAGAGAAAUCUCACAUCAGUUCAAGGUGAAGAAUCAUUUUCCCUUCUUCGACAUGGCUUACCAAGGGUUUGCAAGCGGGGACCUUGACAGGGAUGCUUUAUCCAUUCGUAUUUUUCUUGAAGAUGGGCAUUUGUUAGGCUGUGCUCAGUCCUUUGCAAAGAACAUGGGAUUAUAUGGACACCGAGUUGGUUGUCUUAGUGUUCUUUGCAAUGAUAUGAAGCAAGCAGUUGCAAUCAAAAGCCAAUUGCAGAAGAUUGCUAGGGCAAUGUAUAGUAGCCCUCCUGUUCAUGGUACAUCACUAGUCUCUACUGUCCUGAGUGAUCCAGAUAUAAAGGCACUUUGGGUCAAGGAGGUGAAGGUAACAUAAAUUUUUAUCACAAGUUUGUCUCUUCUUUUCUGUGUGUCUCUUCUCAAUGGAAUGUGAGGAAUCUGACAUUGAGAUGUGCCGUUUGAUCAUAUCUGCAACAUAAGGGCAUGGCAAAUUGCAUUCAAACAAUGCGUACUAAUCUGCAGGAAAGCCUUUGGCAAUUGGGUUCUUCUCUCAAUUGGCAACAUAUAACAAACCAGGUUGGGAUGUUUUGUUUCUCUGGCUUAACCCCCAAACAGGUUGAUUGGCUAGCAAGGGAAUUCCACAUUUAUAUGACUCAUGAUGGACGAAUGAGUAUGGCCGGUGUUACUACAGGCAAUGUAAAUUACUUAGCAAAUGCAAUACAUGAAGUCACGAAAUAUGGUGAGAAUGCAUAGAUUCUCUUUAGCAGUCUUCAUCAGCUUAUUUGCGACUGAUGCUUGACUUCAAAGAUUUUGAACCAAAAUUGACACAUGAAAUUGCUCAUUCUUGCUCAACAUAAGCAUCCAAAUUCUAGCAGACAUGUUUAAUUGAGAAUAAUUGUUAGUUUGGUCUGGAGUUGUUUUGUGAAAACU
RNAcentral lists this unclassified non-coding RNA (1919 nucleotides) under Hevea brasiliensis (rubber tree). Lineage: Eukaryota; Viridiplantae; Streptophyta; Magnoliopsida; Malpighiales; Euphorbiaceae. The record is from RNAcentral.